GUGCCAGCCGCCGCGGUAAUACCGGCAGCUCGAGUGAUGUCCAAUAUUAUUGGGCCUAAAGCGUCCGUAGCUGGCCGCGCAAGUCCGUCGGGAAAUCCACCUGCCCAACAGGUGGGCGUCCGGCGGAAACUGUGUGGCUUGGAACCGGAAGGCUCAGAGAGUACGUCCGGGGUAGGAGUGAAAUCCCGUAAUCCUGGACGGACCGCCGGUGGCGAAAGCGCCUCGGGAAGACGGACCCGACAGUGAGGGACGAAAGCCAGGGUCUCCAACCGGAUUAGAAACCCCGGUAGUCC
This 293-nucleotide ribosomal RNA is filed under the name uncultured bacterium. Its description in RNAcentral is "partial 16S ribosomal RNA". It matches the Rfam family "Archaeal small subunit ribosomal RNA", at positions 455 to 747 of the family's 1478-position model. The record is from RNAcentral.